This 1053-nucleotide long non-coding RNA is filed under the name Macaca fascicularis (crab-eating macaque). RNAcentral's name for it is "lncRNA (ENSMFAG00000053951.1)". Lineage: Eukaryota; Metazoa; Chordata; Mammalia; Primates; Cercopithecidae. The record is from RNAcentral.
UACAUUAAAAAGCCAAUAUCUAGUCCUAAACAGCACUUUUCAUUCAUAGUUGAAAGAACCUCAGUGUCCCACUGUCAGCUCUGAAAAUAGGCUGUAGUAAAAUAGAAUUACAUACCAAGUGCAAUUAAGAACAAACCAGCCAACUUGGUGCAAAGUUUCAGCUUUUUUUUUAAGGAAAGCAAGACUUCUUUUGAACCAUUUGCUUUAAAAUUCUAAUGUUAUUGUAAAAAUAUUUACUUUAAUAACUCAAAAGGUGCUGUUUAUUUUAUAACAUAGUUGAAUACAUUUUCCUUCAUCAAUAGUUCUCUUUAUAGUUGUAUAAAUAUCAGCUUGUGUGUAUGCCGUUACUUUUAUGGUACUUAAAAUGAAAGUGAAGGAAAGCACUGUAAUUGGGGUCAGAUAAUUUUAUUACGAAAUGCAUGCUGUAGUUUAGUGCAUACAUUAAAACAUCAUACACUAGGUUUAAAUUUCUAAUUUCAUUUUUGUCUGAAAUCAGAGAAAUUUCAUCUAGACCAUCAGGCCUAAAGAAAACAAAAACAAAUACAAAAAUACAAAAACUCGCACUACAACAAAUCUCAUGUAUUCCUUUAUAGUGGAGAGAAUUGCUUUGCAAAGGAGUCCGGGUCCCACUGGAAGGGCCCCUUUCCAUACACCGUAGCAAUUCCGUAGCAGCCUCGACUCUCCCCUCGACGGACGGCAGAUGGCGCUGCGCUUCUCUUUUUGCCGCCUCGAUGACGGGACAGGAACCCAGCUUUGGCAGAGCUGAGUUGAAGAUUGCUAGCGACCUAUUCGGAACUGGGCUUUCUUUGAUUUCUGAGUUUCUCCUCGCUGUCAUUCCAUAAUUCUGGUACAUUUAUGGAGUGCCUAAUGCAUGCCAGUGAAUUGCUCCUGUGGCACCAUCAUGGUGAAGCUUCACCACACCCCAGCAAGUGUGCACCUGACAUUCCCGGUGAGGAAAAUUGCUGAGGAUCACAUAUCCAGUAAGUGGCAGUGACUGCUCCAAAGCACAUACUCUUCAACUAUGUUUUGUCUUUUAUUUUCAGCUCACUCUUU